UGGGACCUCAACAGUCAGGG
This 20-nucleotide unclassified non-coding RNA is filed under the name Chlamydomonas reinhardtii. Its description in RNAcentral is "small RNA Cre_3357". Lineage: Eukaryota; Viridiplantae; Chlorophyta; Chlorophyceae; Chlamydomonadales; Chlamydomonadaceae. The record is from RNAcentral.